RNAcentral lists this transfer RNA (73 nucleotides) under Planctomycetaceae bacterium. Its description in RNAcentral is "tRNA-Cys". It matches the Rfam family "tRNA". Rfam says of the family: Transfer RNA (tRNA) molecules are approximately 80 nucleotides in length. Their secondary structure includes four short double-helical elements and three loops (D, anti-codon, and T loops). The record is from RNAcentral. Lineage: Bacteria; Pseudomonadati; Planctomycetota; Planctomycetia; Planctomycetales; Planctomycetaceae.
GGCGCCGUGGCCAAGUGGCUUAAGGCAGCGGAUUGCAAAUCCGCCAUCGGGGGUUCGAAUCCCCCCGGCGCCU